CCGCACGGGAGGUCUCUCCCCCUAGACUGUGCUCCAUGGGGUGGACCCAGGCCUUGUGCUGUUUUUACUUAUAUCCCCCAUGGAGACCAGAGCUAGGCACAGAGUACAGCAGCACCCCAACUUUCAGCCGGUUACCCAUACAUCUCUCAUGUCAUUAAGAACAAUGAAACUAUAGCACACACACAUUCCAGUGGAAAAAAAUAAUUUUCAAAGUUCCCUGGAGUUCGUUGCAGUGGAAUCCAUGGCCCAGGAGGAAGAGGUUUAGUUCAGCCUGGAAGGAGGGCAUCCCAUCUGAGCCGAGACCUCUUUGAGGGUCCUUGUAUGUCACCUGCUGUCUGUCGCUGGUUCGCCUUCUGGCAUCUUUGAUACCUCCCCAGUCAGAGACCUCUGUUUGUGCCAAGAAGUCAUCUGCUGUGUCUUCAAACAAGACCGUAGGAGGCAGAGCCUCUGGUGCUGGCACAUCGCAGAAGCUAAUACCUCGUCACCAACGGAGUGAAGAGACCACGGCUUUCCCCUUUCCUUCCUGUAUUCCAGCUUGCAUGGAUGCCAGCAGAAUUCAAUCUAAAGUGGAAAGAGAAAAGUAAACAAACCUGAGAACUUUCUGGAUCUCUGCAGAGCUGGGCACUUUGCCAGUACAGGUUUUAUUGGAGGGAAGUGGUGGGUUGCUUCCUCGUGUUCCCAUCGCACAGGCUGGAGUAAACUAGCUCCGUAAGCAGGCUUGCCUUUGGCCGACAGAUGACAACGUGUCUGCAUGUAGACAUAGACUUUACAAAGGGCUAGAGAUGGCUGGUGGUUCUCAUGGGGAGAUGGCCCUGAGGCUGAUCAGUGUCAUUCCAGUCAAAGGGCUGCCUCUUAGGGGCACGUGACAUCCCCCAGCACCCGACCUGCCCGGACAACCAGCCACCAGGCAGACAGGAGUGAGGGGGUGAACGAAGUAUGGACUGAAUCCACAGCCUACCUGGACAACCUCACCACGAAGACAGGAGUGAGGAGGUGAACGCAGUGUGGACUGAAUCCACAGCCUGCCUGGACAACCUCACCACGAAGACAGGAGCGAGGGGGUGAACACAGUGUGGACCAAAUCCACAGUCUGUCUGGACGACCAGCCACCACGCAGACAGGAGCGAGGGGGUUAACGCAGUGUGGACCGAAUCCACAGUCUGUCUGGAUGACCAGCCACCACGCAGACAGGAGCGAGGGGGUGAACGCGGUGUGGACCGAAUCCACAGUCUGUCUGGACGACCAGCCACCACGCAGACAGGAGCAAGGGGGUUAACGCGGUGUGGACCGCUGUCAUGGCUCACAGCAGCCUCAACCUCCUGGGCUCCAGUGAUCCUCCUGCCUCAGCCUCCCAAAGCACUGAGACGAACAUAGACGCAGGCACACAUGCACACAGGCUGUGAAAUGUAUGUCUCCAAGUGGCUGCGGGCCCCUGAAGGGCUGCUGCAGCCCUGGGGCUUUGCUCUUCAGAGCCAUGUCGAGGGAGCAGUAGCGGGAGCCACAUGUGACCCCCAGAUCCAGACAGAGACCACUUCCAGCCCCCAGGAGGCCCACACUCCCCUCCACUCCACAGCGCCCCCAAAGGUGCCCACGUCUCUGACCCCCACCCUGGGUGAGUAGGAGCACGUAGCAGGUGCCCCUCACGUGCAGCUCUCUCAUCCACACAUACUCACACAUGCUCACACAGGAAAGCACAUGCCCGCUGUGUCCUGCUGCAUUGCUGGGCAGUGUCCACUGCACGUCGCUCGCUGCAUUGCUGGGCAGUGUCCGCGGCAUGUCGCUCUCUGCAUUGCUGGGCAGUGUCUACUGCACGCCGCUUGCUGCAUUGCUGGGCAGUGUCUACUGCACGCCGCUCGCUGCAUUGCUGGGGAGUGUCCGCUGCAUGUCGCUCGCUGCAUUGCUGGGCAGUGUCCGCUGCACGCCGCUCGUUGCAUUGCUGGGCAGUGUCUACUGCACGGUGGACGCUCCUGCACUCAUGGAUGCUCAGGCUGCUUCCCGUUGGACGCGAUUGUGAGUGACGCUGCUGUGAGCCUCCAGAGUAAUUAAAAAAAGCAAUCUUCGUGUCAGCUCCUCCCUGGCAGACUUAGCCUGCCAGAGCUAAUGAGACAGGCCACCCUUCAGCCAACCUCAUUAGUGACGACCGUGCGGCCAGGAAGUCCUUGAUGUGCGAUGUGCAGUAGCUAACAAGGGCCCCCCUGCCGCGAAGCAACAACUUGCUGGGCAUGGAGCAGGGACCCACGGGUCCCCAUCAUUGCCUCCGGGCUGGUGGGACCCACAACUGUGCCAACACAGGGGCUUUGCUGGGCUGGCAAGUGCAGGGGGCCCCAGCCAGGCAGUUUCAGAAGAGCAGGCACGACGCCAAGGCCUAGGAAGGAGGCCACAGAGGCCCGAGUAUCCCAGGGGGUCUUUGCUGGGAUCUGGCAUUGGGUGCCUCUCCCGCUACGCAGGGAUGGAGAGAAAAGACACCGAGAGUCCUGGGGCUGAUGAAGAGCUUGAGCUCGGAGCCUGACCACCCACAGACAGCAGAGUGAUAGACGCCUCCAUGACACAGAACGCAGCCCUCCCUGCCUCCAGCCCACAAAGCCUCCUCCUCCACAGCCCGACAAGGGCCAGUGCUGGGCCAGCUGCUGGAGGACAGACAGCCACGCCAGGGGACACCACAGCUCCCAGCUCCCUCCUGCGCCUCCCCGGCCACCAUGAGGAUGGAAGACAGCACCAAGGACGAAGAAGAGAGCCUGAGCAGAGGCCAGGACCUGGGCCAACUCAGGGACCAGGCAAGCACACCUUGCCAUCUUGCCUGUCCCCUCUGCUGAGCAGGACUAUUGCUGGGACUGGCCCCCUCCACAGCACCCAAGCCAGCCUUGGGCAAAAGGUGCUGUCAUCCCAGCUGACCCCUGGUGCCAGCCCGGUACACACCAGUGAGGGGAUCACCAGGGAGGCCUGGUGCCAGCCUGGUGUGCGCCAGUGAGGGGAUUGCCAGGGAGGCCUCCACACAGACUGACCUCUUUUGGUGCUGGGGGAGGGGCUGCCACUGUAGAUGCUCUCAGCUGGGGAACCUUCCCCAGAGCAAGCUGCUGGAUGUGCAGGGGCCCCGGGCAUGCUGUCCAGCAGGUCCUCCCAGGCUCCCAGCUGCCCCCAUCCAUGGCCUUCCGACACAGCCGCCAGCCGCUGACCGACAUCAGGUGCCUGUGCAUUGCUGGGCCCACCCUCCAGCACUGUCACGUUCAUCUUAGCAAUGGCUCAUGAGGUUGGAUGGCUCCUGUCCAUGCUCAGCCAAGGAUCCACUCAGAGCAGUUCAGUGGCCUUCCCCUGGCUGCAGAGUAGAGCCGGAUGGAGUUGGACCUGGACGCAGGCCGCCCCCAGCCUGUGCUCCUGGCCACCGCUCAGCCUGCCCCUGCUGCCAACACGGUCCGAAUGACCACUGUGUGUCCCAUGCGCCUCCACGGGCCCAGAGGCUUGUGUGUGCCAGGCUCAGCACCUCAGGACCCUCGGUCUGAUCGCUCGAUGCCCAGGAAGCCCAGGAAGUGCCUGUGUCCCCCUCAUCCCCUGCACAGUCACCCCAACACGAGUCCCUGCACCCCCCUUCCUGACCUCCCUCACCCUGCACCUUUCUCCUGUACCCUCCAGGUCCUGGCCCCUCCCCUCCCCCAGAAUGAGCCCUUCAAUUUCUCACCCAACGAAAGCCUGGCCCUGCCCUGAGGCCCCCGUCAAGGGGCAGGGGCAGGGGCUGCUCCCACCCUCCUGUCAAGGCGACUCCAUUCCUGGGCCAUUCUCCAUCCUCCUCCCCAAAGUCCUCGCCUCCCGGGCCCAGGCUCUGCCACCUGCCUGGCUCAGCCUCCAGCCCAGCCCCCCGCCUUCCAUCUCCCCUUGCCCACCAGAGGGUGGGGCCCCAGACAUGGGCUCUUGUCCCUCUGGCCUGCCUGGCCCCCCCACAUGCACACAGGGUGAGGCGGGGCAGGGAAGCUGGGCCUUGGGUAUCCAGCCCUGGGGAAGAGCCAGGCCAGGGUGAGGCUGAGGGUGCUCAGCUGCCAGGUGCUCAGGAAAGCAGGGAGCAGGAAACUCCUGGAAUUGGGAAUUAAGUGCAAGGAGAGGGGAUGUGUGGAGCUGGCAGCAUUCUGCCAAGUGCUCCCCCAGAGAGCCAGCUGCACUGGAGCCCACACGCACAGAGCCCGGGGCGUGGCACUCAUACACACGCUCGUGUCUGCCUUCACGUGUGUAUAUGAGUGUGGAGUGUGCACACGCAUGCUUGUGUGUGCUUGAGCACAUUUGAGUGUGCACCUGUGGCUGCGGUGCCCAGGUGCAUGUAUGUAUGCUCCCGUGCAAGCACAUAUGUGUGUGCAUUGGGAGGCAGGAACCAUGACGACUGCACAGCCCAGCACGGCGCCCCCACGGUCACCCGCCCUGAAACGAAAGGGACCCCCAGGUCACCCAGGCUGGAGGGUUUCCAGUUGCUCCCCUCAGGGUCACUUAAGAGUCAGGCGAGUCCACAAGACCUGCUACUGCAAAAUCACAGCCUGCAGCAUCUCAGGGCCUGUCUUCCACCCCAGCCCAUUGUCAUUCUGCAUAAAAGCAGAAAAAAAAAAAAGGCACCAAACUGCACCAAGCGUGCAACAGAUGCAGCUCAAACAAACUCGUGUACGACACGGAAGAGACAAAAGCGUUGCCGGCAACUUGUUUGGGACACACGUGAUACAGAAAGGUGACGAAACAUCACAGAUCAGUGGGAAAACAACUAAACUGCAAACUGAAGAAUGGGCUUGGGCAGACCACUCACAGAAGAAAUCCCAAAAGCCAAUAAAUGACUUGAAACUAUCCAGUGUCACUAUUAAAGAAAUGCAGAUUUAAAUAAAGUUUGACUUUCAAACUAGCAAAAAA
This is a long non-coding RNA of Homo sapiens (human), 4875 nucleotides long. RefSeq lists it as uncharacterized. NCBI's taxonomy places the organism in Eukaryota, Metazoa, Chordata, Mammalia, Primates, Hominidae. The transcript has 3 exons. The record is from RefSeq and is a predicted model, not a curated record.